GGUCGGGUAACUCAGCGGUAGAGUGGCGCCCUUACAAGGCGCAGGUCGCAUGUUCGAAUCAUGUCCCGACCACCG
This 75-nucleotide transfer RNA is filed under the name Myxococcales bacterium SG8_38_1. RNAcentral's name for it is "tRNA-Val". It matches the Rfam family "tRNA". Rfam says of the family: Transfer RNA (tRNA) molecules are approximately 80 nucleotides in length. Their secondary structure includes four short double-helical elements and three loops (D, anti-codon, and T loops). The record is from RNAcentral. Lineage: Bacteria; Pseudomonadati; Myxococcota; Myxococcia; Myxococcales.